GUGUUCACCGGGUAGACCUUGAUGGUAUAGAACAAUUAAGGCACGCGGUGAAUGCCA
This 57-nucleotide microRNA precursor is filed under the name Magallana gigas (Pacific oyster). RNAcentral's name for it is "Mgi-Mir-124-P27_pre stem-loop". It matches the Rfam family "mir-124 microRNA precursor family", at positions 13 to 70 of the family's 72-position model. From Rfam's summary of the family: The mature ~21nt miRNAs are processed from hairpin precursor sequences represented here, in this case originating from the 3' arm. The bounds of the precursors are predicted based on conservation and base pairing and are not generally known. Lineage: Eukaryota; Metazoa; Mollusca; Bivalvia; Ostreida; Ostreidae. The record is from RNAcentral.